This is a long non-coding RNA of Humulus lupulus (European hop), 1789 nucleotides long. RefSeq lists it as uncharacterized. The record is from RefSeq and is a predicted model, not a curated record. The transcript is spliced from 3 exons. NCBI's taxonomy places the organism in Eukaryota, Viridiplantae, Streptophyta, Magnoliopsida, Rosales, Cannabaceae.
UACAUUUGGAAACAAUUUUGAUUUUUAAAUGUUUUCUUAGAGAAAGAAUGAGAGUCAGGCUUUUCUGAACUGGUACCUAAUGAAUGGCCUAUCUCACUAUUUCUCAUUCAGGGCAAGAAGUCGGUUUUGACAACGAAAGGGUUUCACAGAGACUUGGUUUUAAAGAAUAAUCUUCAUCGGCUAUAUAAUUGUUUUCUAGUUAUCCAAUUUUUUUAUGUCGAAAAACUUUCUAUUGAACAAACUUGUUGCUCAAUUUAGCAUCUAUUAUCAAGGUAUAACCAGUCAUUUGCAUCUGCUUAAAAAAAAAAAAAAAAAAAAAAAUUGACUGUAAAACAUGAAGAUCAAGGAUGUUUUCAUGAUGAUGGUCAUUUUCUCUUCUUACGUUAUGUGGUUUGUGUUCAAAAGUAUGGAUGAUGAGGAUUCGUUUGUAUUUUCGUAUACAUUCAUUGUAAUUUAUACUAUUGUUAUAGCUUAUUUCCUUUCUAUCUAUAUUGUAGUCCUCAUGUGAGGUGUUUACACAUCCUCGCCUUUUUAUAUAUGAUAAGGAUUACAAGAAGUCAGGAAUAAGUUUUGUUUUCGGGGUGAAAGUAAGUGUUGUGUAUAAAAUCUUAUGCUGUGAAAUGUUGUUCUGUUUAUUUGUAAUGGUAGUUCUUGUCUCCGAUUAUCAAAUUUUAGUUUGAAAUUUCGAGGACGAAAUUAUUUUAACGGGGGAAGGAUUGUAAUAUCCAACAUUUUCAUAAUACAUUUAUUUAUUAUAAAUCAAAGUUUUAAUACAUAAAAUGUACAACUUUACAAAUUUAAGAAAUAGUAAUGGAAAAAUAGUGUUUAAAAUAUGAUUUUAUGUUUUUAAUGAGAUUAAAGAAAGAGAAACUUGAGUAGUCAAGUAUUGGACCCAAAUGUCAUAUAAUUUUAAUUGGGGAUUUUUAUAAAAUUAAGAAAGUUUGGCUAAAGGGCUUAUUUGAAAAGAAUUUUAGUAUUUUGGGUCCAAGUAUAAUUUUUAAAAAUAAAUAAAUAAAUAAAUAAAAUAAAAAUAAAAUAAAAGGCUUCAGCCUUUCAUUUUACCCGAGCCCCUCUCUCUCUCUCCUCAGAAACCCUCUCUCUCUCUCUCCUCAGAAACUCUCUCUCUCUCUCUCUCUCUCUCUCUCCUCUGCGUAUUACUGUUGCCGACGACGCAGGAGUACUUUCCGGCCACCAUUUUUAGCCACGCGCCGGACCGUUGGAUUCAGAGGCCUCCGAACUAUCGACCAACGCGGGAAUCUAGAGCUCACUCGCCGAUUAAACGCCUCAACCACUCGAUUUAAGUUCGGCCACCCCGCGACUUCAAAGUUGCGAUUCGGCCACCUCGGGCAUCCGUUUGCCGAUCCGUCACCACCAUCGUGCUCCUCGUGUUGUGGGCUUCAAAACCCAAUAACUUGUUCCUACAUCUACCAUAGUUGGGUGGUGGGCCCACCACGAGCCACCGCGAUCCACCGUAGAUCGACGGUCGAAACUUAGUGUUCGAGGUUCCGAAGUACGUUUUGAGUCUCAGAAAAUCAUCGUUUGACUUAUUGUGGAACCCGAUCAUUUUGGAUUUGUAUGGAUUUGAUUGAUUGACUCUUGGUGAGGAAUUUUAAAAUAAGCUAAGGACCUAAGGUGUGGCUUUAGCUGUUGAGCAACUUGUGGAGCACGGACUCAGUAGCAAUGCAAUAAUGGUUUUAGAGUUUUCAUAUGGCUGCCUUAAAUUUAAAGUAUUCAUACGUGUAAUAAUUUCUUCUAAUAAGUUUAUAUAAAAGUUUUAAAUUUUUCUGUA